GUUGUCUUCAGGUUGCUGAUACUCACUCAGUCUGGCCAAACUAGGUCCCUUCAAGUUUUCAAAACAAAUUCUAUCAGUCUCUGUAUUUUUUGGGAAAAAAUUGAGGGGUGGAUUCUAAACAAUUUCAUAGGGAAAGAACUCCCACCGCACAGCACACAGCUUCAUAAGCCUCUAUAAAAUUAGACUGCUCUCCCUCAGAGUUCUGAGUGGGCUACCAACCUGGGAAACUGUCCUCACUCCCCUAAGCCUAUGUCUUUUCCUGGGUCC
RNAcentral lists this long non-coding RNA (267 nucleotides) under Homo sapiens (human). RNAcentral describes it as "non-protein coding lnc-ZFAND3-3:1". Lineage: Eukaryota; Metazoa; Chordata; Mammalia; Primates; Hominidae. The record is from RNAcentral.